Molecule: ribosomal RNA, 460 nt
Filed under: uncultured bacterium
Lineage: Bacteria
Description: partial 16S ribosomal RNA
Rfam family: Bacterial small subunit ribosomal RNA
Source: RNAcentral
CCUACGGGAGGCUGCAGUGAGGAAUAUUGGUCAAUGGACGAGAGCCUGAACCAGCCAAGUCGCGUGAAGGAUGACUGCCCUAUGGGUUGUAAACUUCUUUUAUAUGGGAAUAAAAUGUUCCACGUGUGGGAUUUUGUAUGUACCAUAUGAAUAAGGAUCGGCUAACUCCGUGCCAGCAGCCGCGGUAAUACGGAGGAUCCGAGCGUUAUCCGGAUUUAUUGGGUUGAACGGGAGCGUAGGUGGAUUGUUAAGUCAGUUGUGAAAGUUUGCGGCACAACCGUAAAAUUGCAGUUGAAACUGGCAGUCUUGAGUACAGUAGAGGUGGGCGGAAUUCGUGGUGUAGCGGUGAAAUGCUUAGAUAUCACGAAGAACUCCGAUUGCGAAGGCAGCUCACUGGACUGCAACUGACACUGAGGCUCGAAAGUGUGGGUAUCAAACAGGAUUAGAUACCCCAGUAGUC